UACGUAGGGACCGAGCGUUGUCCGGAUUCAUUGGGCGUAAAGAGCUCGUAGGCGGCUGCUCAAGUCGAAUGUGAAAACUCGAGGCUCAACCUCGAGCCUGCAUUCGAUACUGGGCGGCUAGAGUCUGGUAGGGGGAUCUGGAAUUCCUGGUGUAGCGGUGGAAUGCGCAGAUAUCAGGAGGAACACCAGUGGCGAAGGCGGAGACCUGGGCCGAUACUGACGCUGAGGUGCGAAAGCGUGGGGAGCAAACAGG
RNAcentral lists this ribosomal RNA (253 nucleotides) under uncultured bacterium. RNAcentral's name for it is "partial 16S ribosomal RNA". It matches the Rfam family "Bacterial small subunit ribosomal RNA", at positions 524 to 776 of the family's 1533-position model. The record is from RNAcentral.